UUAGCGGCGGACGGGUGAGUAACACGUGAGUAACCUGCCUUUACACAGGGAUAGCCUCGGGAAACCGGGAUUAAAACCUGAUGAAACUAUCAAAUCACAUGAUUAAGAAAGUUAAAACUCCGGUGGUAAAAGAUGGACUCGCGUCCCAUUAGCUAGUUGGUGAAGGUAACGGCCCACCAAGGCAACGAUGGGUAGCCGGCCUGAGAGGGUGAACGGCCACAUUGGAACUGAGAAAAAGGUCCAAACUCCUACGGGAGGCAGCAGCG
This 266-nucleotide ribosomal RNA is filed under the name uncultured Peptoniphilus sp. RNAcentral describes it as "partial 16S ribosomal RNA". It matches the Rfam family "Bacterial small subunit ribosomal RNA", at positions 92 to 356 of the family's 1533-position model. The record is from RNAcentral. Lineage: Bacteria; Bacillati; Bacillota; Tissierellia; Tissierellales; Peptoniphilaceae.